GCCCCCGUACCCCAACCGGCAGAGGGAAGCCUCUUAAACAGGCCCCAGUGUGGGUUCGAAUCCCACCGGGGGCACUA
RNAcentral lists this transfer RNA (77 nucleotides) under uncultured Acidimicrobiales bacterium. RNAcentral's name for it is "tRNA-Leu-TAA". It matches the Rfam family "tRNA". From Rfam's summary of the family: Transfer RNA (tRNA) molecules are approximately 80 nucleotides in length. The record is from RNAcentral. Lineage: Bacteria; Bacillati; Actinomycetota; Acidimicrobiia; Acidimicrobiales.